Tulasnella sp. 424 is the source of this 97-nucleotide non-coding RNA. The record is from the annotation of a GenBank genome assembly. Lineage: Eukaryota; Fungi; Basidiomycota; Agaricomycetes; Cantharellales; Tulasnellaceae.
GCCCUCCUAGAUCAGUGGUAGAUCGUCAGUUUCCGGCCGGGGCUUGAACCCGUGAUCCAGUAGCUGAAGGUCGUGGGUUCAAGCCCCACGGUGGGUA